This 496-nucleotide ribosomal RNA is filed under the name uncultured bacterium. RNAcentral describes it as "partial 16S ribosomal RNA". It matches the Rfam family "Bacterial small subunit ribosomal RNA", at positions 28 to 507 of the family's 1533-position model. The record is from RNAcentral.
GAUGAACGCUGGCGGCGUGCCUAAUACAUGCAAGUCGAGCGAACAGACGAGGAGCUUGCUCCUCUGACGUUAGCGGCGGACGGGUGAGUAACACGUGGAUAACCUACCUAUAGACUGGGAUAACUUCGGGAAACCGGAGCUAAUACCGGAUAAUAUAUUGAACCGCAUGGUUCCAUAGUGAAAGACGGUUUUGCUGUCACUUAUAGAUGGAUCCGCGCCGCAUUAGCUAGUUGGUAAGGUAACGGCUUACCAAGGCAACGAUGCGUAGCCGACCUGAGAGGGUGAUCGGCCACACUGGAACUGAGACACGGUCCAGACUCCUACGGGAGGCAGCAGUAGGGAAUCUUCCGCAAUGGGCGAAAGCCUGACGGAGCAACGCCGCGUGAGUGAUGAAGGUCUUCGGAUCGUAAAACUCUGUUAUUAGGGAAGAACAAAUGUGUAAGUAACUAUGCACGUCUUGACGGUACCUAAUCAGAAAGCCACGGCUAACUACGUG